This is a long non-coding RNA of Perca fluviatilis (European perch), 2100 nucleotides long. RefSeq lists it as uncharacterized. The record is from RefSeq and is a predicted model, not a curated record. Lineage: Eukaryota; Metazoa; Chordata; Actinopteri; Perciformes; Percidae. The transcript has 2 exons.
UGGAAAUAGGGGAAAAUAUAGGCCGGAGGGACUGUCCGACUUCUUCCAAAAGAAAAUUCGUUCCCCCACCCCCAAAAGGAUAAUCUUGCUCAAUCUGGGAUGAGUGCAACACCAAGUGUUCAGAUAUUACUGGGGCGGUGGUGGUGGUGGCGGAGGAUAGACGAUGAAGUUCAACUUCGCUUGCAGACGCGAUCUCCCCCAAACAGCCAGACAACCAACCAGACAGUCGGGGCUUUUUACGCGAAGUCCCCAUAUGGCUGCGGGAUGCUGACACCUGCGCGGUACGCAGGUAACAACAACCGGGCAGCAUCACCUACUUCUGCAGACACUGACAGACAGCAGAUCAGCGGCUCGGUGGCUCAGAACCUAUUGUGGAGCCACCAUGGCUGCCAACAACAAGACAUGAUGACAUUGUCCCGUUUUCACGCUGGAGGCCUCCCAGUAAGGAGUGCUCUUGAAUACCUCUUUAGUGUGACAUGGAGUCGGGCCCGCAACCACCAGCGGAGCUGAGCUGGGCUGCAGAGCUGCUGAGACCUGCCAGACCCACAGCUUCCCCUGCCAGGGGCCUCGGCUCGCAGUCAGAGUGAGUUAAAACCCAUGCUCCUGACACACACAUGCUAAUCCUGAAACACACACACACACACACACACACACACACACACACACACACACACACACACACACACACACACACAUAGCUUAAACAUGUACAGUAUGCAUGCAUGAAUGCAGGCAUACGUGGAACACAUAGUGAAGCUUAUGUGUACAACCAUAAACCUACACACAUGCAGACAGACAAAAAAAUCCUUUAUGUAAGAAUGCGGAUAAAUGCAAAUGUAUUCACACACUUGCCAGUACAACCACAUUCUCAUACAUAAUGAUACCCCGCUAACAGUAGAUGUUGCCCCAUUGGACCAGUCAAUGCAUCAGGAAGGCCGCUGCAUGCACAACUACUUCUAUACUGUAAGUGCAAGAGCUUAGCAGAAGGGGCAUGUCUGUGAAUGAGUGAGCGAGUAAGUGACACACGGCAUCAAUAUGUGACUGUAUAUAUACCGUGUAGAAGGGAGCAUUGUGCAUAUGUUUUAGCUGCAUAGUUGUGUCAGUAUGUGCUUCUCACUUAAUCUUUUUCCUCAUGGCUCAGACAGGAUCCCCUACACCCCAUCUCAAGAUGAUGAGAUGAAGCAAGUAGUCUAAGUUUAGAGAGGGUAAUCAAUCCCACAAGCUCCUGGUUUAGUGCCCAUGUUUCAGAUUUUUAUUUUCCUGGGGAAAAAAGUUCUGCCACAUGUAAGCCAAUGAAUUGUCUGUUUAUAAUAAUGAAAAGUCUUUAAUGAUUAAUUAUACAUGUAUGCUUCUAACUUGUAAACUCAACCAUGGUGAUUUCCAUGUUUAUAUUGUACUACAGUUAUGUGUUUACAGGUUUCCUAUGAGUUGAAUAAAUUCCAUGGCAUCAUGCCCUUACAAAUUAAAAAAGUCUUUUUUUUUAACUCAAAGUAUGAGGUAAAAUCUUUCUGUGGCUACAUUCAUACGUCCAGGGUUUGUGCCCCACAACCAGAGUUUACGAGACCUCUGUAGAUGCUCCUCAUCUCUGCUUGAGGCUAGCAUGCACUGACUUUACACACUGAGUGCACAUGUGUGGUGUGGAGUUUAUCAGGGCCUUUAGACAACAAAACUGGUACAAGAAACUUGAAGAAGGUUGAGCGGUGCAUUGCCUUCAAUUAUAGAAUAUAGUUGUAGUUUAUAUUGCCACUGUAUCUGGACAUAAUCAUAUGUACACACACUUGAGGGCUGACAAACCGUCUUUUUGGCUGGACGCUGUUCGAAUGUAUCUCACAGCAGUGUGUGAAUGGUUUGCUAUAGAGCUUGUGUCUACAUUAAUCUCAGGAACGGUGAUGUGGCCCAGAGUUUAAUAGAAUGAGGCGUGGGUGUGGAGUAAGAGUCCCUCGGAGCAGAGUUAUGGUCUUAAAGUACUAAAAAGCUUUUGACCCAGACCCUACGCACCCACUCACAGGGACACAGCACCUCUCUCCCAGCAAAACACAUACUUUCACUUUGGCUAUGCAGCAAAGAAACACACACACUUGGAUACACAUGAAAAAAAAA